GUGUUAGCGAUUGCAGGGGUGCGGCGUACAUGAGAUCUUUGCCUAUAUCCAAUUUUAGGAUCGUCUGUCUCCAUAUACGGAGCAUCAGUUUUGUCGGGGGUAAUAUAUUAAUGUCCUUUAUCUGCCGGUCUGAGUAUGCCCAUAGGGCAUCUUCCACCGUUCCUUGUGUCAUGCAGGCAUUUUCUAGUGCCAGCCAGAUGGGAGGUGCCGUACCUUCCAGGACCGCUAGGCCCUGUGCCAGUAUUGAGGCUUUAUAAUAUAGCUGAACAUUGGGCACACUGAGGCCUCCUUCUGAGAAGGGUCUCCAGAUCAAUUUCUGCGAGACCCGGGGGGGUUUUCUCUUCUAUAUAUGUGCG
Non-coding RNA from Pelobates cultripes (western spadefoot toad), 356 nucleotides. The record is from the annotation of a GenBank genome assembly. NCBI's taxonomy places the organism in Eukaryota, Metazoa, Chordata, Amphibia, Anura, Pelobatidae.